AAGGAAGAGGCACCACCGCAUGCUGGAGGCUGGAGCCACGGCGGCUUGCCUCGCUGCGGUUGGUGGUGACAUCGGAGACCGCAGCUACGAGCUAAAGCAAGCUCAGUACUACUGGUGAUUUGGAAAGUGCCUUCAUAUUGUUUUUGCCAGUUCUCACCUGAGAACCCUGCAGAUGCCCCAUGAGAGGCUGUGCCCUUUACAAGGAGUCUCCAGUGAUACAGCUGAUUUUCCUCCAUACUCUAAUCCCCUUCAUGGCUGCAGCAUCAACAGAUUGCUCUCUUGAAUCUGACCCCAGUUGUUUUAUUAAUUAUACCCCUUUUUGUGACACAGGAAGGCUAAGAUGAAGCUGUCUUGGAUGGAAAAGAAUUCGUUCUCCUCACAUGGAAUAAAGAUCUUGAAAAGUAUUUUUUCUAUGUAGGGUCUGUCCGGACAAAGUUCUGGGCAUAUUUAUCAGAGAACAGUUCUCCUGAUAUCAGAGCCAUGAGGGAAUCUGUUUGGAUUCUCAUCUUGAGAACCCAGAAGUUUCUGGAGGGAAAUUUCAUAAAAGUGUGGGGUGCGUGGCCCCCAGGAGUUCUUACCCUACCCUAUCCACACUUGUCUGCUAGGCAUUUAUGGAAUUAUCAUGUAACUGUUUCCACCAGCUUGUGCUUUCAAUGGAAGAAUCACCCAAUUUAUAAAUUUAGAAAAGAAACUUUAUUUCUGAUAAAUGGGUGAAGCUGCAGGAUGGCCAUCUUAACAGGCCGGAAAGCAAAGCCUCCCACAGAGACAGUGAGCAGGCACUUCAAGAGAGGGAAAGGUGAGAAAUGAGUUCAUGCAAAUGGAUUGGCCAAGUGCACAUACUCAGCGGGCUAUAGAAGGAGCUAUGAAUAUUCACAUGGUGGGCAGGCUGUCAUGCAUAAUAAGCAAACACAGAUGUUACAUGCAUUUCAUGUUUGCUUUGGGGCGAGGACUUAAGAACUAAACAAAUUACAGUUGGGCCGUGUACAUCAAAAGGGCUUUGUGCAGAGGCAGAAGGACACACAGUGCACAGCCUCCAUAAUUUGGCAAGGACAAGUCCAUGGUGAGUGGUCUCUUCUCAGGAGAAAGUUACUGAAAUCAGUCCUUCUCCAUUCAAAGCUCUUUUUAUGGCUGUGGAACGGGCACAGUUACCCAGUGUCUUGAGUUCCAUGAGCUGCAAAUAUUUUAAUAUUCUUAUCGUAGGACCAGUGCUUUUUAGCUGCUAGAGAAAAUGAAAAGCCCUGUGGCAGUUACAACAUAGUCUAUUUUUUAAGUGUAGGAGUGAGUGACUUAAUUUUUGCUUGAUGUGGACUUGGGUCUUGUUUAUAAUUUGGUAUCUUAUUGCCACAACAAGAUUGUUCCAUCAGUCUGAUGAUCUCUAUUUUAAUGUCUUUCUAGUUUUUGGGUCUUGGUUUUCCCUGCAAUUUGAUUUCUUAAAUAGAUCCAAGAAGUUAUUGAUAAUCAAUUUUCCAGGCUUUCAUUGUUGUAGGAAUGUAGGGGAUGACUGACAUGCUCUUUACAUAUUAAAGUGGAAAACAGAAGUAGCUUCAGAGAUCACCAUUGACCUGACAAGCAGCAGGAAUCUCAUCUCGUUAAGUGUAAGUGGCACCACAGAUGUAGCUGAACAUGCAGUGACACAGAAGACCCACACCACAGAACACAUGAAAAAUUUUAUGAUUCUGAGGUUUUCUCCAGGAAGCUGGAACUCAGGUGGUACUACAGAGAUGGACUCAGUUAUCUCUCAGGUGAUACUAUGUUUUGGAAGCUUAUUUCCACUCCUGCACUGGACUCAUUAGCUGCACCUCGACCAGCACACCUAAAACAGAAACUCUCAAUAAUUAAGCACAAAACUCACCAAUAAUAAAGCUGUCCCCAGAGAAGGUGCAGAGCAGGGAACUCUGCUUUUGGGAACAUGCUGGUGUGCAGGGAGUGUCAGGAGCGUGACCCAUUUCCUUCUGCUCCCCCUGCUGGCUUCACAGACAACUGCAUCCAGGAGCUUUAUGUUGCAAAGUAUAUAAAAUAUGUUAUAAUUGUAGAGAAAUGUAAUACACAGAUUAAGGAAUGAGGAACGUACAUGAAAUUAAACAUAAUAUUAUCACGGAUAAGACAACAAACAAAUAUUAAAAACCUGUGUGUGUACGUGUUUGAGAUAGUAUUCUUGUAAAUUAAAUCAUAAUUUGUUUAUAAAGUCCUUCAACUAUGUACAAAAUCUUUGCCUUUGAUUGCCACAAAGAUGAAGAAGGAUGUGGCACCAGGACUCCAGGGCCAUGCUAGUGAUUUCCCCUCCUAUCUCCUGAGGACACGGUGCUUCCAACUCUGAGGAUCAGGAUGCUGAAAUUGGCUGUGUGAGAAGAGAAAAUGGGAUUUUCUGUGGGAACAGACUAGUGUGAAUGUAACUUUCAAGCAAGUAAGUUUAUUCUACCAUGAGACACACAGCUAUCAUGCUGACUGUGUGUUGCUUUUGACAUUAAUAUGAUAUUAUCAGUAUUGGGUUGUUCCAUGGAAAAUGACCAAUUGUCUCAGAAUUAACUGGAGUCGUUUUCAUUUCAGUUUUUUCACACUUCUAGCUAAAUCACCUAAUUUUACUGUGUUUGAGCUUGGAAAGUUUCAGGGCGUGGGUUACAAAUGAUGGAGUGGAAGGUCUCCCAAGAGUUAGAUGUGGUUCUGCUAAAGGAUGACCCAGGAUUUGUCCAGAAGCUCCCCUCCUUGUCUGUCCCAGCACUUGCUCCUCAGUGCGCCCCAUCCUGCCAGAGUGCUGAGCUUCUCUGCGUUCCUGGACAAUGCACGUCUGGGGCAUCUGCUUCCUAGAUGUGCAUACAUAGGGCGGGCUGCUCUUCAUAAUGGUUGAGAGGGAGCUGGGCCUGGAUCCACCCAGGUGGCCCUACCACUGUGAACUGGGCUUCCUCCCAGCAAGGAGACAAGGUCAGUUGAGUGCCUUCACUUCAGACAACUACUAGGAGGUGAUUUUAGUCAAAUUGUCACAUCCUUUGUCUAUGUAAUCCAGCAAUCAUGCUUUUAAGUGUUUAUCUGACUGCAAAAGUAAGUCCACAAAGAAAACUGCACAUGAGUAAUUGCAAUAGCUUCAUUUACAUUUUCCCAAAACUAUAAACAUUCAGAAAGUUUUUCUGUAGGUGAAAACCAAACUGUGAUAAAUUCAUAUAAUGGAAUUAUAUAGCAAUGAUAAAGAAGUGCUAGCAAACCAUGAAAACACAUGAAUAAAUCUUAAAUGCAUAUUGUCAAGUAAAAUAGUCUGAUAAAGCUAUACAAUAUAUAAUUUAAUUUAUUUGAUCUGGAGAAGGCCAAACUUUAAACAAAGUGAAAAAAAUUAUAUUUGCCGGCAAUUUGGGGAGAAGGUGAGAAUAGAUUAAAAAAUAGAAGACUUUAAAGGAUGAUGAAACUAUUAUGUAUAAUAUUGCAAUGGUAGAUAUAUGAUGUCAUAAAUUUGUCAAAAUCCACAGACUAUACAGCAUGAAGGCUAGAUUUUACUUUACAAAAAAUAAAAGAUUAGGGACCCCAAGAUGGAAUGCAGAUCGUACAGAAAAUAUCUGAUGUCCUUAUUAAUGCAUGAAACAACUUUGUCGAAUAAAGUAUGUGAAAAAGGCUGCUAAAUCACUUUAGAAAUAGUGACACCAAUAAGACUAAAAAAUAAACCAUGUCAGCACUGUCCUCUAGUUGAUGAUGAUGUUCCACAAGGAGCACAGCUUACCAAUUGUGAUUCCACGCUACAAGAAUCCUAGAAUUGGACAACACGGGGUAUAGAUGGUGUGUGGUGGGAGGGGGUUCCUCACACUUGGAGUGGGAGGUUACAGACAGCAAGGAAGAACGGUGAGAAAUGUCCAUGUAGUACUGGAUUAGAGUGAAAGUGCUAGUAAUUUUGUAUGAUUGACAUAAUCUGCAUGCAAUAAAUUAAACGAAAAUACUUCUUUGAAGAAAGUGCAAAAUAGGCUAUGACCUAAAUAACUUUGGAAAUGAGGGAAUUCUGAAAGUCUAAAGUGUAAGUAAACUGCACGUAAUCACUGUACUCUAGUGGAUAAACAUGUUUCCGGCAGAGGUACAGCUUCACAAUUUUGAUUCCGCUAUGCACGUUUCCUGAAAUUGUGCUGCUAAGUAAUACUAUGGAAUAUGGUGGGAUGGAGUUCCUCAUUUGGCAAUGGGUGGUGAUUGACAGGCAAGGCAGGCAGGCUAGAAAUGUCCAUGUGGUAUUGUAAUUGGGUGGAGACAAGAAUGUGUUCUCAUUUUUAAUGUGUUACAGGUACGGAAGACUAGAUAUGUAAAUAGUCGAGAUGUAUCUCUAAACGUGGGUUAAUAAACACCUGCACAUUUUCUAAGCCAUUUAGUUGAGAGGUCCUUGAGGCACUUACAUCCCACUAACAGUAUAUACACCCAACUUCACAAUUCUCUAUUUUAAUACCAUUCUUCAACACCAGAAGCCAGUAAUCUUCAGAAAAACAGCAGAUUCUAUGUAUGGAAAAGAUAAUACGGAAAAUAAGCUUAGGAUUUCUUAUAAUACCAGAAAAUAGGGAAGUGUUCAAAAACAAAAGGAGGAGAUGUCAUGUAAGGAUACAGGAUCCAAAUUAAAUGAACUCCAAGCACAUAAAAAAAACUGUGAUGAUUUGAGCAAAAGCAUAAAUAAUGAAGCAUGGAUCUUCCUCAUAGUAUAAAAUAAGCAUCUUUAAGCCAAUACUAUUAUAAUAGAUGAGUAAAUAAAAUGUGAAAAGAAGGACGAAUCUUCCUUACAGAGUUAUUCAAAAUAUUUUAGGCUGAUAGUAUUCUCAUCAUGUAGGUGAGGUUUAAACACUCGUGUUGAUUGUGGUCUGAGAUUAUAGAGAUGGGAAAAAAAAUCACUGCUAGUUUAUUUUAUAACCAGUUUUUAGAAAUAAUGCCAAAAACAUGGUCUGUGAGUGAAUACAAUUAUUCAUGGUAAUGUAUCCAAAUUUGCAAACACACAUUUUUCUGCAAUAAACACUGAUAAGCAACUAAAAAGACAAAUCACAGAC
Molecule: long non-coding RNA, 4994 nt
Filed under: Homo sapiens (human)
Lineage: Eukaryota; Metazoa; Chordata; Mammalia; Primates; Hominidae
Description: HSALNT0304247
Source: RNAcentral